AUGAACCUGCUGAUGAUUUUCCUCUUUUUGCUUGGGGCCCCUUCAGGUGUCCUCUCCCAAGUGCAGCUGAAGGAAACGGGCCCGGGAGCGGCGAAGCCCGGGGAGUCCUUGACAGUCACUUGCACCAUCUCCGGAAAUUCGGUUUCCAGCACCAGCGCCACCUGGGACUGGGUCCGGCAGCCCGCGGGCAAACGGCCGGAGUGGCUGGGCUGCACGUGGUACCGGUCUGGCACGUGGUACACUGAGUAUCCCAGCGCGCUGCAGGGCCGAGUGACCAUCUCACCGGACACCGCCAGGAACCAGGUCUUGCUGCAGCUCCGCUCGCUGACAGCUGCGGACACCGCCACCUAUUACUGCUCCGGGAGACACAGUGACACAGCGCAACUCCGGGACCGAUAG
Molecule: non-coding RNA, 399 nt
Organism: Pelodiscus sinensis (Chinese soft-shelled turtle)
Lineage: Eukaryota; Metazoa; Chordata; Testudines; Trionychidae
Source: the annotation of a RefSeq genome assembly